This 263-nucleotide ribosomal RNA is filed under the name uncultured bacterium. RNAcentral describes it as "partial 16S ribosomal RNA". It matches the Rfam family "Bacterial small subunit ribosomal RNA", at positions 793 to 1055 of the family's 1533-position model. The record is from RNAcentral.
GUCCACGCCGUAAACGAUGUCUACUAGCUGUUCGUGGUCUUGUACUGUGAGUAGCGCAGCUAACGCACUAAGUAGACCGCCUGGGGAGUACGGUCGCAAGAUUAAAACUCAAAUGAAUUGACGGGGGCCCGCACAAGCGGUGGAGCAUGUGGUUUAAUUCGACGCAACGCGAAGAACCUUACCUACUCUUGACAUCUACGGAAGACUGCAGAGAUGCGGUUGUGCCUUCGGGAACCGUAAGACAGGUGCUGCAUGGCUGUCGU